Molecule: long non-coding RNA, 988 nt
Filed under: Mus musculus (house mouse)
Lineage: Eukaryota; Metazoa; Chordata; Mammalia; Rodentia; Muridae
Description: functional intergenic repeating RNA element
Source: RNAcentral
GGGGGCCACCUGCAGACACACCCUGGCUUCGGGACCGUCUUCCUUCUCUUCCCCCUCGGGGCCUAGAGGAGGCCACGCGCGGGGUCUCCGAGCUCUAGGGUCCGGAGCUCUAGGGUCCUUUUAUGUAGCAAAGUCAGGCCUGGGAACAGAACUUCAUGUGCUUGUAAAAAGUCUCAGGUGCGUCCUCGUUGUUUUAGAGACUUGGAGAGGAAUGGGGGCGGGGGGAACAAAAUCCGAGGACAGUCGAGCCAAGAAAAGUCGGGGCUUCUAGGAUGCCAACCACGCCAAACAGAUCAAAACCAGGACUGGAGGACUGAAGAUGAAGCCGGCAAAAAGUCACCAGCCACGGCUCUUGUAAGGUAUGCUUCACCUCUCCUGCUAAGUCUUCAUCCCUGUCUAUGAGGACAAAGAAGUUACGGGUUAAAUUGGCGAUGGGCCAGGCGCUCCUUGAGGAUGCUCUAAAGUUGGUGAUAGAAAAUGGGAGAACUGAAGACAACCACUUUAUAAAACCCUUGCCUGCUUGAAUUUGUGGUGAUGAACCGGCCCCUGGGAUUUGCUGCUCAGAACCUGAGUUCACUGAGACAUCAGGAGCAAGCACUGGAGGCCGGGUGCUGCUGGAUCCUGAUGGGAGCCAUGCAGGACUUGACCAUGGCCUGCACACACUUCUUCCCAGGAGAAGGGGAAUGAGGAAGGACUGGCCCCUGGGAUUUGCUGCUCAGUUCACUGAGACAUCAGGAGCAAGCACUGGAGGCCGGUGCUGCUGGACCCAGAUGGGAGCCAUGCAGGACUUGACCAUGGCCUGCAUACACUUCUUCCCAGGAGAAGGGGAAUGAGGAAGGUGGGGGCCUCAAAGCCUCCUUUCCUUUCUGUUUGGCUUCCUAUGUCUUUAUUCUAUUUUUUGUAUCUGUUUAAUUAUUUACUUAGUACAAAAUUCAGGUCCAGCCUCCUUAGGUUUGGCAUUGAUAAAAAAUGCAAAAUGGAAGGUAAA